CUCACGCGGGCUGGCGGACCCUCGGUUUUACCCCGAUGGCCCGAUCCGGUGUCUUCGGCCAUGACUCCAUGCGCUGUCGACAAUGCCCGCGGCGGAGCAACCGGAAAAAGGGAAUUUU
RNAcentral lists this small RNA (118 nucleotides) under Azospirillum sp. B510. Its description in RNAcentral is "rpsB sRNA". It matches the Rfam family "rpsB sRNA". Lineage: Bacteria; Pseudomonadati; Pseudomonadota; Alphaproteobacteria; Rhodospirillales; Azospirillaceae. The record is from Rfam by way of RNAcentral.